This 497-nucleotide ribosomal RNA is filed under the name uncultured bacterium. Its description in RNAcentral is "partial 16S ribosomal RNA". It matches the Rfam family "Bacterial small subunit ribosomal RNA", at positions 28 to 507 of the family's 1533-position model. The record is from RNAcentral.
GAUGAACGCUGGCGGCGUGCCUAAUACAUGCAAGUCGAGCGAGCAGAUAAGGAGCUUGCUCCUUUGACGUUAGCGGCGGACGGGUGAGUAACACGUGGGUAACCUACCUAUAAGACUGGAAUAACUCCGGGAAACCGGGGCUAAUGCCGGAUAACAUUUAGAACCGCAUGGUUCUAAAGUGAAAGAUGGUUUUGCUAUCACUUAUAGAUGGACCCGCGCCGUAUUAGCUAGUUGGUAAGGUAACGGCUUACCAAGGCAACGAUACGUAGCCGACCUGAGAGGGUGAUCGGCCACACUGGAACUGAGACACGGCCCAGACUCCUACGGGAGGCAGCAGUAGGGAAUCUUCCGCAAUGGGCGAAAGCCUGACGGAGCAACGCCGCGUGAGUGAUGAAGGUCUUCGGAUCGUAAAACUCUGUUAUUAGGGAAGAACAAAUGUGUAAGUAACUGUGCACGUCUUGACGGUACCUAAUCAGAAAGCCACGGCUAACUACGUG